Molecule: ribosomal RNA, 683 nt
Filed under: Enchylium tenax
Lineage: Eukaryota; Fungi; Ascomycota; Lecanoromycetes; Peltigerales; Collemataceae
Description: SSU rRNA
Rfam family: Bacterial small subunit ribosomal RNA
Source: RNAcentral
ACAGCAGUGAGGAAUAUUGGUCAAUAGCCUAACGGCUGAACCAGCAACUUGGAGGAAUGUAUAGCUAAAGCUAAAGGUAUUUUGUAAAAAUACAGAUUCGAUUUACUCGUAUAAAGUUCUAGAUAGGAUUAUGAUAAUGACAUUGUCUAUCUAUAUGUCUUGACCAAAUUACGUGCCAGCAGUCGCGGCAAGACGUAAAAGACUAGUGUUAUUCAUCUUUAAUAGGUUUAAAGCGUACCUAGACGGUAAAUCAAGCCUUAACCGGGACUAAUUUAACUAGAGUUAGAUGUAAGGGUGCAUAAACGUACUGUUGAGUGUAGAGAUGAAAUUCUAUUAUACCAGAUUAUUGGCACGGGUUUAGGCGAAAGCAUCGCCUUAUGUAAUAACUGACGUUGAGGGACGAAGGCUUUGUGUCGCGAACAGGAUUAGGUACCCCAGUAGUCUAAGCAGAAAAUGAUGAGUGUCAUAGGUUAAAUAUUAUUUGGUCUAUAAAUGAAAGUGUAAGCAUUCCACCUCAAGAGUAAUUUGGCAACAUUGGAAUUGAAAUCAUUAGACCGUUUCUGAAACCAGUAGUGGAGUAUGUUGUUUAAUUAGAUAUUCACCAAACCUUACCACAAUUUGAAUAUUUUACAGGCGUUGCACGGCUGUCUUCCGUUAAUGUCGUGGAAUUAUGGUUAGUUCCA